UGAAGAGAAUUGAUAUUAAUGAUUAUUAGAUGAACACUUUUGAGAAGUAGAUCUUGAGUUUCAGCUAAUUGUCAUUUGCAGGGAUUCCCUUAUCAGACCACCAUCGAGGACCAUUUCACUGCCAUACAGGCUGAAUAUGGGAAGGUUACAGAGCUUCUUUCCUGUAACCGGGUGGAAACCAUCAUGGAGCCACUUGAGGAUUAUGUGCAAACCUUUAAAAAGGUGUCCUGCACGUUCCUGCAUGUGGCUAAAGAUGGUCAGGUGAACACCUCCACCUGGGAGCAGGAGCAGGUUGACUCUCCCCACAGUGAUUCAGAGGAACAGUACGACUCUGAGG
Molecule: long non-coding RNA, 337 nt
Organism: Hemibagrus wyckioides
Lineage: Eukaryota; Metazoa; Chordata; Actinopteri; Siluriformes; Bagridae
Exons: 3
Source: RefSeq, a predicted model, not a curated record